CAAAUCUGCCUGGUGAUCGUUGUGUUCAUCCUCGUUAUACUCAAAAAGUUCAAUUCCAGUUUGCUCAUAUUCAUUUGGAUCAGAUGCCCAUUCAUUUAGAUCAUCAAAACCAUAAUCAUUGCAGUAUCCACUGUAGGAGCCAUUACCAAAAGAUUUUCCUUCAUAAUCUAGUCCAGGAAAAGGCUGCCUUAGUAGAGGGUUUGUACAUUCUCGUUCUCUCCUAGACUCUGUAGGUCUUAAGUCUGAUUGGAAAAGGCUGCCUUAGUAGAGGGUUCGUAUAAUCUAGAUCUCUCCUGGACUCCGUAGGUCUUAAAUCUGAUUCAAUAUCAUCAAUUUGGAGAAAAGGGUCAUCCAAAAGCUCUCUUGCUGAGAGCCUUAGAGACACGGUGGCCAAGCAUUUU
This 401-nucleotide long non-coding RNA is filed under the name Nicotiana benthamiana. RNAcentral's name for it is "long non-coding RNA (NBEN_LNC005729)". The record is from RNAcentral. Lineage: Eukaryota; Viridiplantae; Streptophyta; Magnoliopsida; Solanales; Solanaceae.